GGUUAAGCGACUAAGCGUACACGGUGGAUGCCCUGGCAGUCAGAGGCGAUGAAGGGCGUGCUAAUCUGCGAUAAGCGCCGGUAAGGUGAUAUGAACCGUUAUAACCGGCGAUACCCGAAUGGGGAAACCCAGUGUGAUUCGUCACACUAUCAUUAACUGAAUCCAUAGGUUAAUGAGGCGAACCGGGGGAACUGAAACAUCUAAGUACCCCGAGGAAAAGAAAUCAACCGAGAUUCCCCCAGUAGCGGCGAGCGAACGGGGAGGAGCCCAGAGCCUGAAUCAGCAUGUGUGUUAGUGGAAGCGUCUGGAAAGGCGCGCGAUACAGGGUGACAGCCCCGUACACAAAAGCGCAUGUGCUGUGAGCUCGAUGAGUAGGGCGGGACACGUGGUAUCCUGUCUGAAUAUGGGGGGACCAUCCUCCAAGGCUAAAUACUCCUGACUGACCGAUAGUGAACCAGUACCGUGAGGGAAAGGCGAAAAGAACCCCGGCGAGGGGAGUGAAAAAGAACCUGAAACCGUGUACGUACAAGCAGUGGGAGCACCCUUCGGGGUGUGACUGCGUACCUUUUGUAUAAUGGGUCAGCGACUUAUAUUCUGUAGCAAG
This 604-nucleotide ribosomal RNA is filed under the name Salmonella enterica. RNAcentral's name for it is "partial 23S ribosomal RNA". It matches the Rfam family "Bacterial large subunit ribosomal RNA", at positions 1 to 644 of the family's 2925-position model. Lineage: Bacteria; Pseudomonadati; Pseudomonadota; Gammaproteobacteria; Enterobacterales; Enterobacteriaceae. The record is from RNAcentral.